UAGGGAAUCUUCCACAAUGGGCGCAAGCCUGAUGGAGCAACACCGCGUGAGUGAAGAAGGGUUUCGGCUCGUAAAGACUCUGUUGUUAGAGAAGAACGUGCGUGAGAGUAACUGUUCACGCAGUGACGGUAUCUAACCAGAAAGUCACGGCUAACUACGUGCUAG
Molecule: ribosomal RNA, 165 nt
Filed under: uncultured bacterium
Lineage: Bacteria
Description: partial 16S rRNA
Rfam family: Bacterial small subunit ribosomal RNA
Source: RNAcentral